GUCUUAUUGUCUCCAUUUUACCAGGGAGGAAAGUGAGGCUGAGAGAGGCUCAGACCCUGCCCAGGUUCUUCCUGACUCACAGAGAAUCUUUUCUCAUCCUCUUGGAUGUGCUUCCCUGGGCUGCGUGGCUGCGUGGGCAGAUGCACCUGUGUAUGCUGAGCACCCACCCAGGACUUCAACCCCGCUACUAGGAGAAACCACCUCUCAGCCCCUCAAACAGCACCUCCACCCUGGCCUCCAGCUGGUCCCUGGCCUCCCUCCCUUCCCCCACCCAGGCCACCUCUGCUGUCUUUGCAGAAGCCGUUGGCCUGCAGCCAGAUGCCCGUGGUGUGGCCACAUCUCUGGGGCUCAAUGAGCGGCUCUUUGUUGUCAACCCACAGGAAGUGCAUGAGCUGACGCCACACCCUGACCAGCUGGGGCCCACUGUGGGCUCUGCUGAGGGGCUGGACCUGGUGAGUGCCAAGGACCUGGCAGGCCAGCUGACGGACCACGACUGGAGCCUUUUCAACAGUAUCCACCAGCCUCAAGGAGCAGAAGAAUCUCAAUUCCUUCUUUGCCGUCAUGUUUGGCCUCAGCAACUCGGCCAUCAGCCGCCUAGCCCACACCUGGGAGAGGCUGCCUCACAAAGUCCGGAAGCUGUACUCCGCCCUGGAGAGGCUGCUGGAUCCCUCAUGGAACCACCGGGUGUACCGACUGGCCCUCGCCAAGCUCUCCCCUCCUGUCAUUC
RNAcentral lists this small RNA (727 nucleotides) under Pongo abelii (Sumatran orangutan). RNAcentral's name for it is "retained intron". The record is from RNAcentral. Lineage: Eukaryota; Metazoa; Chordata; Mammalia; Primates; Hominidae.